This 90-nucleotide transfer RNA is filed under the name Bacteroidales bacterium. RNAcentral describes it as "tRNA-Ser". It matches the Rfam family "tRNA". Rfam says of the family: Transfer RNA (tRNA) molecules are approximately 80 nucleotides in length. Lineage: Bacteria; Pseudomonadati; Bacteroidota; Bacteroidia; Bacteroidales. The record is from RNAcentral.
GGAGAGGUGGCCGAGCGGUUUAAGGCGCACGCCUGGAAAGCGUGUAUCUUGUGUGAAACGGGAUCGAGGGUUCGAAUCCCUCCCUCUCCG